This 377-nucleotide ribosomal RNA is filed under the name uncultured eukaryote. RNAcentral describes it as "partial 18S ribosomal RNA". It matches the Rfam family "Eukaryotic small subunit ribosomal RNA", at positions 592 to 976 of the family's 1831-position model. The record is from RNAcentral.
CAAUAGCGUAUAUUUAAGUUGCUGCAGUUAAAAAGCUCGUAGUUGGAUUUCGGGUGGGAAUGGCCGGUCCGCCGUUUCGGUGUGCACUUGCUACGCCCACCUUGCUGCCGGGGACGUGCUCUUGAGUUCACGCUCGGGACACGGAGUCGGCGAGGUUACUUUGAGUAAAUUAGAGUGUUCAAAGCAGGCCUACGCUCUGAAUACAUUAGCAUGGAAUAACACGAUAGGACUCUGGCCUAUCUUGUUGGUCUGUAGGACCGGAGUAAUGAUUAAGAGGGACAGUCGGGGGCAUUCGUAUUUCACUGUCAGAGGUGAAAUUCUUGGAUUUAUGAAAGACGAACUACUGCGAAAGCAUUUGCCAAGGAUGUUUUCAUUAA